Molecule: non-coding RNA, 270 nt
Organism: Podarcis muralis (Common wall lizard)
Lineage: Eukaryota; Metazoa; Chordata; Lepidosauria; Squamata; Lacertidae
Source: RefSeq, a predicted model, not a curated record
CAACCAACAACUACACCCAAACCUCGGGCUAAGCCCUUUUAUAAACAGCAAGAUGAAAGUACCAAGUACCUAUGCAAAUCCAAUCCAAGCUCUCUGAGGAAUAAAAUUCAACUCAUCUCACUUAUUGUAAGAAUGAGGAGCAUCACACAAUUGCCCCAAAGUAGAAAAGAGGCCAAACUUACCACCGCCACCUCCGAGAAGACUUGAAUUAGCUGUGGAAGAACAAGAGAACCAAGAAUUACAUCAGAGCAAGCUUUGUGUGUUUUGUUU